RNAcentral lists this long non-coding RNA (560 nucleotides) under Malus domestica (apple). Its description in RNAcentral is "long non-coding RNA (MDOM_LNC010815)". The record is from RNAcentral. Lineage: Eukaryota; Viridiplantae; Streptophyta; Magnoliopsida; Rosales; Rosaceae.
AAAAAAAAGCAAUAUUAUAGUGUUUGGUAAACUUUUAUGUAAAACAGAUGGGAAAAAAAAAACAGGUUUUUCAAAGCUGGGUUUUGCAGCUUCUUGUUUUUGGCUUUUUUUUUACCAAAAAUUGUGAAAAAAAACUGAAGUUGAAUGUUUACCAAACACAAAAAAGCUCUCAGCUUCUUUUCAUACUAGCUUUUUUUUUAAUCACCUCAAUCCCAAACUGCACCUUACACAUACGAAAUAUCAUAUUUGAGAUUAAAUCACAACUUAGAUUUUCAAAAUCCACAACUCAAAAUUUGACUACUCUGUAGACCACUGCGAUGUUAGUAGAAGUGGGGUCCUACCUACUGCUAUUAACAUGUUAAUUUCUUUUUAAAAUCCUUAAACAUUUUGUUUUUUUUGCUAAGAAAUCUAUUAGGAAGUUGGUCUAACUUAUCAUCAUACUUUUUAAUACCUAAUUCAGUUUCGAGUAAAUAUAAACACGUUAUUUUUCACUUCUCAAGCAUUCUUAUUUAACUUUUUAUGUGAAAAGGUAAACAAACGUGUAAAAAUCAACUGAUCUA